CAACCUGGCCGUGACAGAUGGAUAACCGGGAGAAAUCCCGCCUAAUACAACAUAAUGCCGGGAGGGGACAUCCCCUGCCGGUCAAAGGGGGCGACCCCGGUCAUGGAUGGGCAUGUGGCGCAUUAGGUAGUUGGUGGGGCAACGGCCCACCAAGCCGACGAUGCGUAGGGGUUCUGAGAGGAAGGUCCCCCACAUUGGAACUGAGACACGGUCCAUACUCCUACGGGAGGCAGCAGAGAGGAAUAUUGGUCAAUGGCCGGAAGGCUGAACCAGCCAAGUCGCGUGAGGGAAUAAGGCCCUACGGGUCGUAAACCUCUUUUGCCAGGGAGCAAUGCCGUCCACGUGUGGACAGAAGGAGAGUACCUGGAGAAAAAGCAUCGGCUAACUCCGUGCCAGCAGCCGCGGAAAUACGGAGGAUGCGAGCGUUAUCCGGAUUUAUUGG
Molecule: ribosomal RNA, 442 nt
Filed under: uncultured bacterium
Lineage: Bacteria
Description: bacterial SSU rRNA
Rfam family: Bacterial small subunit ribosomal RNA
Source: RNAcentral